Molecule: transfer RNA, 76 nt
Filed under: Pseudomonadota bacterium
Lineage: Bacteria; Pseudomonadati; Pseudomonadota
Also listed under: 2 other names
Description: tRNA-His
Rfam family: tRNA
About the family: Transfer RNA (tRNA) molecules are approximately 80 nucleotides in length. Their secondary structure includes four short double-helical elements and three loops (D, anti-codon, and T loops). Further hydrogen bonds mediate the characteristic L-shaped molecular structure. tRNAs have two regions of fundamental functional importance: the anti-codon, which is responsible for specific mRNA codon recognition, and the 3' end, to which the tRNAs corresponding amino acid is attached (by aminoacyl-tRNA synthetases). tRNAs cope with the degeneracy of the genetic code in two manners: having more than one tRNA (with a specific anti-codon) for a particular amino acid; and 'wobble' base-pairing, i.e. permitting non-standard base-pairing at the 3rd anti-codon position.
Source: RNAcentral
GCGGGUAUAGCUCAGGGGUUAGAGCGCCUGACUGUGGCUCAGGAGGUCGAGGGUUCGAUUCCGUCUACCCGCCCCA